CCUACGUGUGGCAGCAGUGAGGAAUAUUGGUCAAUGGUCGCGAGCCUGAACCAGCCAAGUAGCGUGAAGGAUGAAGGCCCUAAGGGUUGUAAACUUCUUUUAUCAAGGAAUAAAGUGAGGCACGUGUGCCCUUUUGUAUGUACUUUAUGAAUAAGGAUCGGCUAACUCCGUGCCAGCAGCCGCGGUAAUACGGAGGAUCCGAGCGUUAUCCGGAUUUAUUGGGUUUAAAGGGAGCGUAGAUGGGUUGUUAAGUCAGUUGUGAAAGUUUGCGGCUCAACCGUAAAAUUGCAAUUGAUACUGGCAGCCUUGAGUUGAGUAGAGGUAGGCGGAAUGCGGGGUGUAGCGGUGAAAUGCUUAGAUAUCACGAAGAACUCCGAUUGCGAAGGCAGCAUAC
This 394-nucleotide ribosomal RNA is filed under the name uncultured bacterium. RNAcentral's name for it is "partial 16S ribosomal RNA". It matches the Rfam family "Bacterial small subunit ribosomal RNA", at positions 338 to 729 of the family's 1533-position model. The record is from RNAcentral.